AGGAGAGAUGAGUCAUCAUUUGGAGCUCUUGAGGUCAUGGGAGGAUUCCAGAUACCCUUAUCCAGUACACACUCAAAACAUCCCAAGAGAAGAGGUAAAACGAUCCAGUGCAUAAUGUGCCAACAUCUGAUUCCAGAAUCCUUCAGGAAUUUUGAAGACAAAGAAGACAAGGAAGGGAUGAUUACCUGAGCUGAGCUAUAUAAUAUUUAGGAAACCAAUGCACUUCCCAGACUAGAGACUUGGCUUCCCAGAAUGGAGCUUUAAAGAAAGAAGGAAGCCUGAAGAAUAAACAUAAAGUCUCUGAGAUGUCUCCAGUGCUCUCCUUCCAAGAAACUGCCCAUUUCCAAAUUUAGCCUACUGGGGAGCAGCAAAAAGAGAAUGGGAUUCAGAGUCAGAAGACCCAGCUGAGAUAGAACACAGAUGAGAACACAGCUGAGAUGAGCACAGUGAGAUGAGCACUA
Globicephala melas (long-finned pilot whale) is the source of this 461-nucleotide long non-coding RNA. RefSeq lists it as uncharacterized. The record is from RefSeq and is a predicted model, not a curated record. NCBI's taxonomy places the organism in Eukaryota, Metazoa, Chordata, Mammalia, Artiodactyla, Delphinidae.